CAGUCGAGCGGUACAAAAAGUACUUGCUACUCUGCUGACGAGCGGCGGACGGGUGAGUAAUGCUUGGGAAUAUGCCUUAUGGUGGGGGACAACAGUUGGAAACGACUGCUAAUACCGCAUGAUGUCUACGGACCAAAGUGGGGGACCUUCGGGCCUCACGCCAUAAGAUUAGCCCAAGUGGGAUUAGCUAGUUGGUGAGGUAAUGGCUCACCAAGGCGACGAUCCCUAUCUGGUUUGAGAGGAUGAUCAGCCACACUGGGACUGAGACACGGCCCACACUCCUACGGGAGGCAGCAGUGGGGAAUAUUGCACAAUGGGCGCAAGCCUGAUGCACCCAUGCCGCGUGUG
RNAcentral lists this ribosomal RNA (348 nucleotides) under Pseudoalteromonas prydzensis. RNAcentral's name for it is "bacterial SSU rRNA". It matches the Rfam family "Bacterial small subunit ribosomal RNA", at positions 59 to 405 of the family's 1533-position model. The record is from RNAcentral. Lineage: Bacteria; Pseudomonadati; Pseudomonadota; Gammaproteobacteria; Alteromonadales; Pseudoalteromonadaceae.